AGGGGCUUAGGAUAGCACCAGACCAAGGGCCUUCAAAGCCUUAAGCGGGAGUGAAAAUCUCCCAGCCCCUG
This 71-nucleotide transfer RNA is filed under the name Rhinogobius maculagenys. RNAcentral describes it as "tRNA-Trp". It matches the Rfam family "tRNA". Rfam says of the family: Transfer RNA (tRNA) molecules are approximately 80 nucleotides in length. Their secondary structure includes four short double-helical elements and three loops (D, anti-codon, and T loops). The record is from RNAcentral. Lineage: Eukaryota; Metazoa; Chordata; Actinopteri; Gobiiformes; Gobiidae.